Molecule: ribosomal RNA, 330 nt
Filed under: uncultured eukaryote
Lineage: Eukaryota
Description: partial 18S ribosomal RNA
Rfam family: Eukaryotic small subunit ribosomal RNA
Source: RNAcentral
CCCUUAGAUGUUCUGGGCCGCACGCGCGCUACACUGAUAAUGUCAACAAGCUUUACCUUGGCCGAUAGGUCUGGGCAAUCUUCGAACUAUUAUCGUGAUGGGGCUAGAUUAUUGCAACUAUUAAUCUUAAACGAGGAAUUCCUAGUAAGCGCAAGUCAGCAGCUUGCGUUGAUUACGUCCCUGCCCUUUGUACACACCGCCCGUCGCUACUACCGAUUGAAUGGUUUAGUGAGAUCUUCGGAUUGGCGCCACUGCGGCUCAGCAAUGGGCUCGGUGGAUGCCGAAAAGUUGAUCAAACUUGAUCAUUUAGAGGAAGUAAAAGUCGUAACA